UUUAAAGUCUAAUCUGCCCUAUGAGGAUUUAAAUGGCCGCGGUAUUUUGACCGUGCAAAGGUAGCAUAAUAAUUAGUUUUUUAAUUGGAAGCUAGAAUGAAUGAUUGAACGAGAAAGUUACUGUCUCAGACUAAUUUUAUUAGAAUUUUAUUUUUAAGUAAAAAAGCUUAAAUUUUAUUAAAAGACGAGAAGACCCUAUAGAGUUUUAUAUAAAUAUUUUUAUUGAUUUUGAGGGAUUUUUUUAUUUAUAUAAAUAGUUAUAUUUUAUUGGGGUGAUAGAAAAAUUUAAUAAACUUUUUUUUUAUGAAUUCAUUGAUUUAUGUUUAAUUGAUCCAUUUUUUAUGAUUACAAGAUUAAAUUACCUUAGGGAUAACAGCGUAAUUUUUUUUUAGAGUUCUUAUCGAAAGAAAAGAUUGCGACCUCGAUGUUGGAUUAAAAUUAAUUAUAGGUGUAGAAGCUUAUUGAUUAGGUCUGUUCGACCUUUAAAAUUUUACA
Molecule: ribosomal RNA, 495 nt
Filed under: Microserica fukiensis
Lineage: Eukaryota; Metazoa; Arthropoda; Insecta; Coleoptera; Scarabaeidae
Description: partial 16S large subunit ribosomal RNA
Rfam family: Bacterial large subunit ribosomal RNA
Source: RNAcentral